RNAcentral lists this ribosomal RNA (466 nucleotides) under uncultured Alphaproteobacteria bacterium. RNAcentral's name for it is "bacterial SSU rRNA". It matches the Rfam family "Bacterial small subunit ribosomal RNA", at positions 9 to 521 of the family's 1533-position model. Lineage: Bacteria; Pseudomonadati; Pseudomonadota; Alphaproteobacteria. The record is from RNAcentral.
GAGUUUGAUCGUGGCUCAGAACGAACGCUGGCGGCAUGCCUAACACAUGCAAGUCGAACGCCCUCUUCGGAGGGAGUGGCGCACGGGUGCGUAACGCGUGGGAACCUGCCUUUAGGUUCGGAAUAACUUCCCGAAAGGGAUGCUAAUACCGGAUGAUGUCGCAAGACCAAAGAUUUAUCGCCUUUAGAUGGGCCCGCGUUGGAUUAGCUAGUUGGUAGGGUAACGGCCUACCAAGGCGACGAUCCAUAGCUGGUCUGAGAGGAUGAUCAGCCACACUGGGACUGAGACACGGCCCAGACUCCUACGGGAGGCAGCAGUGGGGAAUAUUGGACAAUGGGCGAAAGCCUGAUCCAGCAAUGCCGCGUGAGUGAUGAAGGCCCUAGGGUUGUAAAGCUCUUUUACCCGAGAUGAUAAUGACAGUAUCGGGAGAAUAAGCUCCGGCUAACUCCGUGCCAGCAGCCGCAGU